This 2275-nucleotide long non-coding RNA is filed under the name Homo sapiens (human). RNAcentral describes it as "HSALNT0375056". The record is from RNAcentral. Lineage: Eukaryota; Metazoa; Chordata; Mammalia; Primates; Hominidae.
CCGAGUGAGCAAAGGCACGAGUGAGCCUGGUACACUUCUGGGCAGGCAGAAGGAAGGCAGUUAGGCUGUUAGGAAGGCAGUUAGGCUGCAGUGAAUUCUACAAAGAGGCUAUGGGAAAGAAACCUGGAAAGGUAGGGAGGUAUGGAUAUGGACAAGCUAUGCCAAGGAGCAGGGCUUUGUCAUGGAGAGUGACUAGGUGCUUUUACAUAGGAAAGUCACCUGAUAAUAUUAAAACCUGUGAAAUAUCACUCUGGUGGAAGUGUGAAUGAAUUUGAAAGGGGUGUAACACUGUUCUACUUUGUUUACUCCUCAGUACCCUUGGCUGUGUACAUUUGAGUAAAGAGAGCACUAUAAAAUCAAAAACCAAUGAAAUGGUUUCCAGAACACAGAACUAUUAAGCUUAAGAAAAGGACAGAAGGAACUGAAGAGAGAGGAACUGUUUUGGAGCAUCACACUUCCACCUCAGAAGAAAUAAGGAAGGAAGGAGGAGGGUGUUCCCACGGCUCUUCAACCAGGCCGGCUCUUCAGCCUACAUCCCCAUCUCAUCAAGUAAAAGGGAUUUUUCAACUGGACCAACCAGAUGGUUUAACAGUGCACUCCCACACCAUUCAACUACGCAAGGGAGAUACACUUAACAUAUGCAGUCGUAUAACACCUACUAACAUUUUCAAACAUUAAACCUUUAAAAAAGAGUUCUAAAGAAAUAGAAGCUUGAAGUAUCAUCUCUCAAGUAUAUAGACACUACUUCAUGGUGUGGUAAUAUAUGCAUAUAGAAGCUAGUAAACACCUCCAGGAGAUGCAAAAGGAAUUAGAACUGCCACAAGGUGCAAGCAAAACCUUGAGUUCUGUUUUUCCUCUUCUAAUCCUUCACCCAUCUGAGCUAAAGUCUAGACCUAAGGAGGCUACUAAUUCAGGGAUCGAGUAAUCUGCCAAGCAAGAGUUUAUUCAAGCACAGUUUGAAAUAAAGGUUUCAAAUGCAUAGCCUGUCGAUACUUUGGAAGGAUUCUCAUCAUAACGAGUAUGCAAUUUGCUAUAAAGAAGAAUGCCCAUUACGGACUAAAUGUUUAUGUCCUCCUAAAAUUCAUAUGUUGAAGGCCUAACUCUCAAUGUGAUGAUUAUGUGGAGAUGGUGCCUUUGGGAGGAUAUGGGAGGACACCUGAGACGGCAGGCCAGAAGUCACUCAGUAGGAGAAACAUCCGUUAGAAGUAAUAAUGUGGGAUUGCUGAAGUAAAGACUAUAGGAAGAAAAAAGUGUCUGUGUGUAGGAAACGGAAAGGGAGAGAAAAAUACACUGAGAUGGUAAAGUAAGGAAGUGGAAGAUCAGCAGAAUGUGCAGAUGCCAAGCCAUCCAAGAAAAUCAUCUCUUGUGAUUGUUGCGAAGUCAACUAGCUAAUGUGACUCACUGCUAGGCUGUUGGAUCUGAGACUUAUGUGGGAUAAUUUAGAAACUUGCUAGUGUCUUAAGAUCAAUUACUCACCAAUGAGAGUGGCAUUGAACUGUGAAUGUUCCUCCUAGAUUUUCCAUGAAGACUAAUGGUUUUGUCUUGUCUUGAAUUUGUUUUAAUUACAAUUUGUAUACAUCCUGUUCCACCCUGAAAUUUUUAUUUUCCAAAUGGUUUUUCAUUUAAAGAGACUAAAUAAAGGUUCUGACUGAGUUGUACUUGUGGGAACUCCAAAAUCUUUUUAUAGGAAGCUAUUUUCAUCAAAUAGUGUUGAGAAUCAAGUUUCCAGUUGGAGAAAAUAACAGAGACAUGCAAAUUCAGGAUGUAGCUGUACAGCAAUGUUAGUGAAGAGAGAAAAUUUUGAGUCAUUUAGACAUUAACCAUUAAGCAUCUGGAUUUUUUUAAAUGUUAAGACAGAAAAAAAUACCUGUAUGUCAACCAAAAUUUUAUUUAAUUUAGUGAACUGUGAUAGGGACUCCUCUCUGCUCAUCCAAAUCCAGGUUUUCUUCUGCUCCUGGACACAUAAGCAGGGUAUGUGUUGCAGUUAGCUGUGGCCAGGACAUUGGACUUGUGGUCAAUGGAAUAUGCACAAGAAGAGAUGUGCGAUAUUUCCAAGCCUGACUCCCUAAACAGUAAAUACUUUCGAGUCAUAAUUUUCCACAUUCUGUCCUAUUAGCUGUGUCAAUGGAAUGACUAUUGGCAUCUUAGAAGUUAGAGAUGAAAGAUCUCCUAUCAGCCUGAUUCUUCAGAGACUUACUUGGAACAGAACCUCUGCUGUGGAUCUUAAACCACUCACUCUGGGGAAUGGUGAGGAUUAAAUUCCUAUUUUGUUUGA